Long non-coding RNA from Brassica napus (rape), 3258 nucleotides. RefSeq lists it as uncharacterized. The transcript is spliced from 3 exons. Lineage: Eukaryota; Viridiplantae; Streptophyta; Magnoliopsida; Brassicales; Brassicaceae. The record is from RefSeq and is a predicted model, not a curated record.
AUCUUUUAUUUUCAGACAUUUUCUUUCUUUCUUUGUGAGUGUUGGAUGUAAAAACUCAAUCUUUGUUCUAAAGGAUGAUACUUUUCACUGAUUAUGCUUUGUCUUGUUAGUGUUGAACUGUUUUGUUGAUUUAUUUGUGGCAAAAAGUUUGUAAAGGGAUUUUCUUGAGAAGAAAGAAAAACCCUAACUUUUGUUCAUGCUUUCAACUUGACCGAUAGUUUCUUCUUUCUUGAGCAGAUUCUAAGAAGAGGAGACAAUGUUUGAAACUGGAGAAAGCUCAGAAGAGCCUAAACCUGCUCGAGUAAGUAAUGAUUAAUUUGUCUUCAUGGAAGAGAUUAAUAAAACAAAGUUUAUCUGCACAUAUGUAUGUUUUACAGGUGCUUGUUGACAUACCCAACGAAAGCUUACCUAUGCUCAAUGAGAUUAUCAAACUAGUUACCCCAAGGUUUCAGACAUUAGUGGGUUAUGUUCUCCAGGUUGUGCCCAAAGACAUCUUGCAAUCCAUAAUUGAUUCAGAACCUCAGUCUACUAUCAGAAUCAUCGAGUGUAUGGACCCACAUAAUGCACAGUUCAGACGUAAUCGAUUUGCAUCUAUAACCAAGAAAUGGGUACAGUUUUUUUUUUUUUUUUGUUUUUAUCCUACUUAAUUAGUUUUGGUGAUCUAUGUCCUGUCGGUUUAUAUAUGUUUUCUGUUUUGUUCUAAUGGAUUGCAGCCUACACCAGAGUGUUUGAAAGGUGUGAAUUGGCAAAAGAAAAUGGGGAUCCCGUUGAGAGAUCAAGAAAGUCAUGGUAACGUUUGAUUAAAUAUUUUUGUCUAUCAGCAUAUAGUUAAAUUGGGCUUCCAUGAGAUAAUUCAUUAAAUGUUAUGUUUGUAUAUGCUUUUAGAUGUGUGUUGGGCCAUUGUGGUCAGUGAGCUAAUAAGAGCUGUCAGGCUCAUUGAAAAUCCUAAUCAAGACCCCAAAAUAAGAUACUCUCCUCAAGACUUGAUCGACUUUUCUGACCCUGUGAAAAGGAGGGAGAAAAAGGAAGAGAAAGAGAAAGGGAAAGGAGAUCACUUUUGCUAUACCUCAAAUCUCACCAAUGGUUUCAAAUACGUGAUGAAGCAUGGAAUUCAGUUGGAAGAUGACCGAACAUUCUCAGGCUGUGCUGAAGAGGUUCCUGAUCGUCCCUCAACCCGACUUACAUUCAUCAAAGACUACGUGAAGCUAGAUACUAUUCAGGAGGCUCUUAUCCAUCUUGAGCAUCGACCUAUUGGAGCAGCUUUGGCCUUGUUCCACCCUGAGUACAAAGACAUUGGAGGAAAGGCAAGUAAAUUCAUUUUUUUUUUCUCAAGUAAAUUCAUAGUAUACUUAUUACAUCUAAUUAUCAAUACUAACCCAUUUUAGAUUUACCGCGGACCUAUGAAUCACAAGUCUACCUUCUGUGGACUGCACGCGGUUUCUCUAGUGAGAGUGGGUGAAGAAAAUGGGGAAAAGUAUGUGCUUGCAAGAAGUAGUCAUGGAGAUAAGUUUGGAUGUGAGGGCGGGUACAUCAAGAUCUCCUUGGAAGUUAUGUUGGCUUACAUACCUAUCGCUGGUGAAAGAAUCAACAAAUAUAUUGAGAAGUACUUUGGCAAGCCUCGUUAUCUUCUGAGGAGGUUUUCCUACCCAAGGUUGCUGACAGAGGAAGAAGAGGAGAUAAAAAGAAACAUGUACCAAGACAAAGACAACAUGGAGAUUUGAGGAUUGGUUGAUGAUGGACAAGUAGUUGGCUUCUCGAUCAAACAGAUGCUGCAGAAAAAAACAAACAGUCCACAACUUUUGGGAUGCUAUUUUUAUUUCAAUGAAUAUCAGGAUUUGUGUUCCACGUGACUCUUUUUUUUUUUUUUUUUUUUUCUAUAACGCCUCUGGUUCUGUUCCAUUGAGUUUUGCGGUUCUGUUAUUGUUGCUUUGAUUUCAGACACCAGUUUAUUAGUAGAUUUUGCAAGACUCUGGUUCUCAUUUCAGCUAUUUUUAGGAUUCUGAUUUUAGAGAUUUCUAGGAUCCUGGUUUUGCUACAACACACGCAACAAGACUCUCUGUGUGUCUUAAGUUGCUGGAUUCAUAUGACUUUUUAAUGUUCUGUCACUCGUGUGGUAUUAGCAGUAGAAACCUGUUGCUCAGAGGGAAGGCCAUUUCUUGACUAUCACGUAUAACUUUAAACAAAUAUUAUACUCUCCAUGCAUGGAUGUGGAUUCUGGGGAAUUUCAACAAGCUGAAUGAUUCUAUUGACACUUGUCACCUUCUUCCCAGGUGGAACAGCACAUUCCAAGUUAACUGGAUUCACACAUCAGCUUUUGUUAUACAAGAUGAUACAAUCUGGCCAGGUCCUGAAGAAUCAGACAAGUUAACCACGUUAAAACACACGGUACUUGAGUACCGUCUUUACAUGAUUCUCUCCUUACAUGCCCCAUCCUUGUCUUUCCCUCCUCACCUCUUCUGUUUCUUACACUUUGUAGCAUUAUCAAUACCAAGAUCAGAAUGUGGGGAUCAUGCUACCAUAUACAUUGACCUCGUUUCUCAAGCUAUUAUAUUAGUCCAGUCUGAUGGAUUGAAAUUUAGAUAAACUGAGAGGCUAAUACACUCUUCAAAACUGACAUGAAAUUCAAACGAGUUCUUAAUUGGAAUUUAUUGUGAUCCGUCUUGGUUUAGAACAUUUCUUAGUUGAUACGAAAAAUAAUAAUGACAAAGAUAGUUGAUUGGUUGAUGUUCAAAUGGCUGAUCCUUAAGGAUCCUGGAUAUGCUAACAAAAUGCUCCCACCAUCAUGUAUGUCAGUCGUCACAAAGAUUGAUGCAUAAAACAAAAGCGACCUUAAAGCAUUAAAGAACAAGAUAAUUUAGUCAAAGGCAUAACUUAUAAUUAGAGUAGAUGAUAAGGAAAUACAAGUACUGGAAUUAGUGAAAAGACAUCAUCAUCAACUUAUAAAGUAGAUAGCUAAUGAACUAGAGAACAGCCAGAAGAGACGGAACCAGCAAACUCUACUUGUCAAUCCAACACCUAGCUUCAAGGCACAUGUGUCCAGGGUUUUUUUAAGAGAAUUACGCCGGAUUCGGAUACUUGUCGGUUAUACUUGGACCAUGCCACCGGAUCUACCUCUUCGUCGGAGGAGGAAUCUUCGUCUACUGCUGGUGGCGGUGGAGGAGGAUUGACCGGAGUUUCGAGCUUCCGCUUGCGCUGCGGAGGUUCGUCGAGCCACAGCUUCGCCUCUUCCAACAUCACAUCGUUCAUCUUUCCGAUCUC